UACGUAGGGAGCAAGCGUUGUUCGGAUUUACUGGGCGUAAAGGGUGCGUAGGCGGCAUGGUAAGUCAUCUGUGAAAUCUCCGAGCUUAACUCGGAACGGUCAGAUGAUACUGCUGUGCUAGAGUGCAGAAAGGGCAAUCGGAAUUCUUGGUGUAGCGGUGAAAUGCGUAGAUAUCAAGAGGAACACCUGAGGCGAAGGCGGGUUGCUAGGCUGACACUGACGCUGAGGCACGAAAGCUAGGGGAGCAAACAGG
This 253-nucleotide ribosomal RNA is filed under the name uncultured bacterium. RNAcentral's name for it is "partial 16S ribosomal RNA". It matches the Rfam family "Bacterial small subunit ribosomal RNA", at positions 524 to 776 of the family's 1533-position model. The record is from RNAcentral.